UCUAAGUGAAGAUUUUAGGGCUUCUAAAAAUCUGCCACAGAUCCACCUUUCUUUUGUUUGCAUGACUGAAUAAUAGACCAAUCAGUUCAGGCGAGCGAGACUCUAGGAAUGGCUUAUACAAGGAUAUAAUUGGCAGGAGAAAGAAGAGUUGGGAGGAGCUGUUACAACAAAGAAUCCGUUGGAGGACCCUGAGAGUUCAAAAUGUAGUGGCUCUUCAUUGGCUGAGCUGUGAUAAUGUCUCAUUGACUAAGCUUUUGCCAGUGUCCUGACUGGACUGCCCACCAAGUUGCUCUUUCUAGUCUAAGGAUGACCUCAACACUGGUAGAGAGCAGAGAUGAUGCACGCACCUCGAGUGGAAGGAAGUCCUUCCUGAACCAGCGCUCCAGCUGUGCACAUCCCAGAAGACGUCCUCCCCUUACUGGGCUCUUGUGACAUAAUAAGAAAUAUAUAUUUGGUCUUCCUCCCCAGUUUCUGGCACAGAGCUCCUAAAACUCUUGUAAUUUCCUAAGUGAUAAGAGGUGAAGGACCAUCUUUUGUUAUAGUAUUUAGUUUUUGUCCCCGGUUCCUGAAAUAGCUCUUAGAGCAAUAAAGGUGGAAGUAGUAUAUUUUGUUAUUCACAACAAGCCCCUUCCUACCAGAAAUAAGUUUAGGUUAAUGAAGUGAUUUUUUAAAAUCCGCUAAGGACGGGAGCUUUUUGCCAGGGAAACUGACUGAGUGAUUAGAGGAUUGGAACUUUCAGCUCCACCUCCCCACCUCAAGGGAGGGGAGAGUGACUGGAGAUUGAGUUAAUCACUAAUGGCCAACAUUUUAUUCAAUCAUGACUACCAAAUGAAACCUCCAGAACAAUCCUAAUCACAUGUGUUUGAAGUGUCCAGGUGGUGAACACAUUCACAUGCUGGGACUAUGGCAUGUCUGGAGAAGGCUUGGAAGCUCUCUGCUCCUUGCUACAUACCUUGCCCUCUGCAUCUCUUCUGCUUCACUGUUCCUGAGUUGUAUGUUGUAUCACUUUUUUAUAGUUGAUUUACAACUUUUUUUUUAGUUUCAGGUGUACAGCAAAGUGAUUCAGUUACUUAUAUAUAUAUAAGAACCUUCAGAUUCUUUUCCACUAUAGUUAAUUACAAGAUAUUGGAUAUAGUUCCCUGUGCUAUACAGUAAGACCUUGUUGUUUAUCUGAGUUGUAUCUUGUACAAUAAAGUGGUAAAUGUGUU
Bubalus bubalis (water buffalo) is the source of this 1208-nucleotide long non-coding RNA. RefSeq lists it as uncharacterized. Lineage: Eukaryota; Metazoa; Chordata; Mammalia; Artiodactyla; Bovidae. The record is from RefSeq and is a predicted model, not a curated record. The transcript has 3 exons.